GUGCUCGCUUAGGCAGCACACAGACUGAAAUUGUAAUGAUACAGAGAAGAUUAACAUGGCCCCUGUGCAAGGAUGACAUGCAAAUUAGUGAAGUGUUCCAGAAGAAA
Molecule: small nuclear RNA, 107 nt
Organism: Vulpes vulpes (red fox)
Lineage: Eukaryota; Metazoa; Chordata; Mammalia; Carnivora; Canidae
Source: Ensembl